Molecule: long non-coding RNA, 4647 nt
Organism: Homo sapiens (human)
Lineage: Eukaryota; Metazoa; Chordata; Mammalia; Primates; Hominidae
Gene: OIP5-AS1
Product: OIP5 antisense RNA 1
Source: Ensembl
AGGGUUGGCCACCUUGAGAAGCUGCGAAGAUGGCGGAGUAAGGCGUGCCGCUGCAAACUGGCCUCUGGGCCGGGGGCGAGCAGCCCCCGGGAGGCCGAGUGCAUCUGUUGGACCGUGCGAGGAGAAGAAAAAAAAUAUCGGCCAGAGGAGAGGAACUAACCGAACAUUCUUCCUCCCUACCUUAUAGAGGGGAGUGGUCAUCUACACUAAAGCAAAGUGUUAGGCGCGUCCGUGCGAAGAGACCACCAAACAGGCUUUGUGUUCCUUAUCACAGGAAGAAAAUUUUCCUUGACCUUUAGGUGCUUUUAUAUUCAUCUCAAAAACAAAAUUCUGAACUCAGGACUUGGCAAACGGAGUUUCACUCUGUUGCUCAGGCCAGAGUGCAGUGGCACAAUCUCAGAUCACUGCAACCUCUGCCUCCCGGGUUCAAGCAAUUCUCCUGCCUCAGCCUCCCGAGUAGCUGGAAUUACAGACGGAGUCACGUUCUGUUGCCUGGGCUGGAGUGCACUGAUGCAAUCUUGGCUCACUGAAAUCUCUGCCUCCCAGGUUCAAGCGAUUCUCCUGCCUCGGCUUCCUGAGUAGCUGGGACUACAGGCACCCGUUACCACGCCCAGCUAAUUUUUGUAUCUUUAGUAGAGACGGGGUUUCACCAUGUUGGCCAGGCUGGUCUUGAACUCCGGACCUGGUGAUCCACCCACUUCGGCUUCCCGAAGUGCUGGGUUUACAGAUGUGUCUCUAUGUUGUCUCCUAGAGUGGGUAGUCCUGCUUCUUUUACCCAGUUACUUUCCCGUUUUUGAAAUGUGGCUAUCACUUCUCUACACAUUACCUCCAUGAUUUGGAAUGGAAAAGGCCACUUUUCUUUUUGUUCUGCCUCUCAAAUUCAACACAGAGGAGCUCCUAGGAUUCCAGUUAUCCUGCUAACAUCUCCAGGAAGAAAGAAGCAACUCACAUGGGUCUUUUGCUGUUUGCUUAAUUAUAAAGACAUCAUUUUGCAAGCAGAAGGCUGAGUUUCAUUUGAAACAGGUGCUUAGGUGGUGGUAUUUGUGAAUACUUUUCAUUCCAAGCAAGAAGACUAAAGAAGUAGCAAGUAUGAAUGACUUCAGGGUUUAAAAAAAAUGUCUUCCAGUUUCAGCCACUACCAUGAUAAGCACAGUUGAGACUGCAGCAGUAAAUUCCAAAUAUGUGUUUCUAAUUUGACGUGAAAGAUACUAAAAAUUUAUAUUUGUAUAUUUAAAUCCUGGCUCAUCCUGUGACAUAGAUUUACUGAAUAGGAACAAAGGCCCAAUUUUAAACAAAAACCUAGGCCGGGUGUGGUGGCUCACACCUGUAAUCCCAACACUUUGGGAGGCCAAGGCAGGCAAAUCACCUGAGGUUGGGAGUUUGAGACCAGCCUGACCAACAUGGAGAAACCCCAUCUCUACUAAAAAUAGAAAAUUAGCCAGGUGUGGUGGUAGAUACGUGUAAUCCCAGCUACUCGUGAGGCUGAGGCAGGAGAAUUGCUUGAAUCCGGGAGGCGGAGGUUGCAGUGAACUGAGAUUGCACCACUGCACUCCAGCCUGGGCGACAGAGUGAGACUCCGUCUCAGAAAAAUAAAAAACAACUUUGGACAUAGAGGAGUUGGGGGCAGAGGGGGGAGGAUGAGAGAAUUUUCCAUGUAACUCCUUUUCCUUAAGAAAAAGAAGCAAAAAUCCCUCAUGCAGUGCCAUCUGACUUUAUGGUGUUUCACAUUAUAUAGUUACUUUUUUUAAUAAACGCAUAAGAUUAACUCUUCCUGCAACCCAAGGUGGAUACUUGGAUGUUUGAUUUUUAUUUAUUUAUUUAUUUAUUUUUUGAGGCAGUCUCUCUCUGUUGCCCAGGCUGGAGUGAUGCGUGAUUUCUGCUCACUGCAGUCUCUCCCACCCGGGUUCAAGCGAUUCUCCUGCCUCAGCCUCCCAAGUAGCUAGGAUUACAGGCGCGCACCACCACGCUCAGCCUGAUUUCUAGGCUGAAAAGGCUGGGACUCAGGUACUUUCCCCAGUUGGGACUGAACUUUCUCAUCAGAGAAUGGGCCUCAGAAGCAAUGUUCCCAAACUUGUGGUUGGGUCAUCGUGGAAAAGAAACCUCAAAUAAGAAAAAUAAUUACAAUAAGAAAUGGAUUUUCUUUUUUCCCACAACAGUUAUACAUUAUAAAGAACAGACUGUCGUAGAAAACUGUCUUUGCUUCCAAAUCAGCAGAGGACCAUUGUAUGUAUUGUCAGGUCUUUAUAUAAGAGUGAAACCUUUAUUUAUGCUUCUUGUGAGUAGAGAAUAAAUUUUAAAACUAAUUAGAUGAAAUUAAGAACAGAGUAUUGGAACAUCUCUGUGUUUUCCGGAAUGUUUACUCAGGUCCAUGAAUGCUGUGAUGCUGGGAACUUAGGGAAGAUUCACCAAAAUUUGAGAGUGAUAAAAAUGGCCUAAAAUGGGAAAUGGUGAGCACUCUUAUUAUUAGUGAGAUUGGUCAAUCAGCCCAUUUGAAAUGGGUAAAAAAUACUUUCAGUAAAAUAAUUACAUAUUAUAUAUAAAAUAUUUCUUUUUUUGAGGGCAGCUACUGAGUGAUAAAAGCAUAGUAGAAAUCACUUUGGUUAAAAGUAACUCAAAUUUUUCUCUUAAGUAAUCUACCAACUUCCUGAUGUUUUUCUUUAAUAUUUUGGAACUGUUCAAGACAGAAUGGAGCCUACAUAUAUGGUGUUCCACUAGUAUGUUGAAAAUGUCAUAUCAUGGAGAAUGGAGACACCUUCCAGGUGUCUGUUAAACCCAUCUUCUCUGUGUACUUCUGGCAUCUUUUUUGGUAGGAUCAUUUGGCAGGGGGUAGAGUACCUGUACUUUUGGCACCAUUGAAACCAGCUCUGGCCCACUUGUUUGAAUAGCUAUCAGACUCAGCGUCUCUAUAUGCUUUAUAUACAGUUGAGAGAACCAGUGUUUAAUGCUCUUGAAAUUGUAUCUUCCAUGCUUCAGACCAGAUGCAUUUAACAAAAUGGAUAUAUUCCAGCUGUAGUUGCCCAGUGUUUACUUAACACAUCUACAUUUUUUUCUUGUCUAUUUUGGUCCCCUUGAUAGGAAAAGCUAUAAUUUUAGGCAGGACUAUACGUCGAUUUGUAGCCAUGCUUCCUUCCUUUCCCUUGCUCAUCCAUGUUAGCUGGCAGUUUUUCUUUUGAAAAGUUAAAACCGGGAUAUGUGCAAUAGAAAUAUAUAUAUAUAUAUGUAUAUUUUAAUACUUGUGGACAAAUGUUACAAGUUGUUUAAGAACAACAAAAUCACCAAUGUCUUCCAUUUUGAGAUGUGUAUAGUUUUGUAAGCAUUAGUGCUUGGUAGCAUAUUGUAGUGCCAUGUUAGGGGUUAGUGCAUGAGUCUAGUGAUUUUAAACUUCAGGAUGAAUUAUUGAUAAUAACAAAUAGUGUAAAAAGAGUGGAAAAUCUAAACCUUUUCUUUUUCCAUAAUGUCUAAAUCUGUUAUAUUCUUCCUGGGGAAAAGAGAUUAAGGCCCAAAAGACUCAUUUAUGAAUAGAAAUGUGGGGUCAAAAUCUGAGAUACUAUAUUUGAGGACAUUUCAGCUUUCCAUAAGGUAUCUGGAAACCAGCUGUCUUUGUGUCUUAUGAAACCUCAAGUCAAAAUGAGACCGCAUUUAAUUAUUCUGCUUUGCUCUUUUUUUGGGGUGGGGGGGAGAUAGAGUUUCACUCUGUCACCCAGGCUGGAGUGCAGUGGCACAAUCUUUGCUCACUGUAACCUCUGCCUCUUGGGUUCAAGUGAUUCUCGUGCCCCAGCCUCCCGAGUAGCUGGGACUACAGGCACGUGCCACCACGCCCAGCUAAUUUUUAUAUUUUUAGUAGAGACGGGGUUUUGCUGUGUUGGCCAGGCUGGUCUCAAACUCCUGACCUCAAGUAAUCCACCUGGCCUGCUCUUUUCAUGUCUUAACAUGGCAUGUCUUUUAGUUUCAUUAUUUUCCUACUCCUUGUAUGUCAAGAAAUUACAUUUUGCAUGUCUUAUGGAGAUGCUGUUAAUUGCUUCAGUGAGUGCUUUUCUAAUCUGCAGACCAUUUACAUUUCCUGUUUGCAGCAUGCUGUGUGCAAACACUCAGUAAUUUGGAGUAUUCAAUUAUUUGUUAGGGCUCUUCCUAUUUCCAAAUGUGCUGAAUUGUCUAUUGAUGGGAUUUUCAGAUCUUUUCAUGAGAACUGGAAAUGUAGCUGGGUGGCACCUACCUAGGUUGCUACGUAGUGAGUAGACUUUCUCUUGGGUAUAGUAAGCCUCAGACAGCUUUCACUUUUAUCUACUUUACUUGUGGAAAUAAAACAGUCAUUUUGUUCUGAAAGAAUAAGAUAGCUUUCUGUAGAGAAGGAAUUCCUACCUCUAAAAGCUGCCUUGAGAACUCAGAACUGGCAGUUUUCUGAGGUGAUUUUUAAAUUUCAGUAUUAGGGAGAGUCCAGCAUUUGCUGACACAGAUUCUACAUAACUAAUGUAUGAUAGCAAAUGCAAAACUAUUAUAAUGUGGUGUAUCUUGCGCAUACACAGGUUAGAACAAGUAGACUCUGGCAGCAGAUCUCCAGAGACCCAAGUUUAGGUUCUCAUAGUGUAUUUGAAGUAGUUAUACUCCUGGCUUAAGUAGUUUAGUGCCUGGGAGAAUCCAUUACUGAAA